AUCGCCAGCUCGCUGCCGGCGUUACAUAGGAAGGAGUUGGUCCGGCCCGGGUGGUCCACGUCGUGAACCGUGGCUGCGAUCAGAGCUGCUACCUCGUCCAGCUGGUCCAGACUGCUCUGAAACCAGCAGAGACAGAGUGACGAAGUAGGCAGUGGCGUGCAGCACGUCUGCGGCGUGCGUGGAGUUGUGAUAGGAGUUGGAGGCGUGGUAGCUCGCCUCCAUGAGCUGCAGCCAGGAGCGCAGCGUGGCCUCCGAGCAGUUCAGGAACUCGCACACGCCGAAACUGGUGAAGAUCUUCAGCCCGAGCUCCAGGAUGUUGAACUCCCAGCACUCCUCAUCAUUCAGCAUCUCAGCGAUGGACGGGGGGACGUCAUUCAGGGUGACUGGGAUAGCCAGCUGGCUCUGACUCAUAUCUAGCGGACAGACAGAAGAGUGCAGCGCUGAAGAAGACAUAUUCAUUCCCAGAGAGUCUCCGCAGGCCGUCCUGGAGAGAAGAAACAAAGAAGGAAACAAAGAAGGGGGUUAAUCAAGUGCAGAAGAACAGUAAGUGGCCUACACAUGUUCAUCAUGACGGCGGGCAUGAGCAGACAAGGCACAGCUGGAGAAUUAUCAGAUGAUAUUAUUGACAAAAGACAGUUUUUAUUUUGAUCGGUUUAUGAACCUUUUUUUUGACACAGAGGAGGAGGAUAAAUCAGGUGUUUGAUAUGAAGGAAGGUUUUCAGUCUUUUUUAUGGGACUUUUUAAGACAAGAAUAAAAAAUAUGGCAACAAAAUGAUAAUCUGGUGUACGAAAGUCUUCCUUCUUGGACUGAUUGAUCUGAAAACCUAAAACCAAUUCUGUUUUCAGAGAGUCAAACGUGUGCGUGCAGUGAUUCACCUCAUAGUUUUACUCAAUCAACGAAUCAAAAUAUUAAAAAAUAAACACCGACUCUGCUGGAUCUGAUUCUGGAGGCCAAAACAUUCUUGGUUCAAUAAAAAAUGCAUGUUCAGUUUCAUUUGCAUGAGGUAACAACAUUUUUACAACGUGAUGGGAGAAAGACUAUUUCUGACCUUUCCUUAUAAAGAGCUUUUAAACAU
Acanthopagrus latus (yellowfin seabream) is the source of this 1076-nucleotide long non-coding RNA. RefSeq lists it as uncharacterized. Lineage: Eukaryota; Metazoa; Chordata; Actinopteri; Spariformes; Sparidae. The transcript is spliced from 4 exons. The record is from RefSeq and is a predicted model, not a curated record.